Molecule: ribosomal RNA, 390 nt
Filed under: uncultured beta proteobacterium
Lineage: Bacteria; Pseudomonadati; Pseudomonadota; Betaproteobacteria
Description: bacterial SSU rRNA
Rfam family: Bacterial small subunit ribosomal RNA
Source: RNAcentral
GAAGGUGCGAGCGUUAAUCGGAAUUACUGGGCGUAAAGCGUGCGCAGGCGGUUUUUCAAGUCUGAUGUGAAAGCCCCGGGCUUAACCUGGGAACUGCGUUGGAAACUGAAAGACUAGAGUGCGGCAGAGGGGGGUAGAAUUCCACGUGUAGCAGUGAAAUGCGUAGAUAUGUGGAGGAAUACCGAUGGCGAAGGCAGCCCCCUGGGUCGACACUGACGCUCAUGCACGAAAGCGUGGGUAGCAAACAGGAUUAGAUACCCUGGUAGUCCACGCCCUAAACGAUGUCAACUAGUUGUUGGGGAGGGAGACCUCCUUAGUAACGCAGCUAACGCGUGAAGUUGACCGCCUGGGGAGUACGGUCGCAAGAUUAAAACUCAAAGGAAUUGACGG